UCAGAGGAUGCGAAAUAUAUACCCAAAUUGUAUAGCAAGGAUAACGGGGUAAUCGUUUUGGUUGCCUUCUUGCAGUGAUAAAGCAUUUUGUCAUAGUUACACUGA
This 105-nucleotide small nucleolar RNA is filed under the name Schizosaccharomyces pombe (fission yeast). RNAcentral's name for it is "partial snR63 small nucleolar RNA". The record is from RNAcentral. Lineage: Eukaryota; Fungi; Ascomycota; Schizosaccharomycetes; Schizosaccharomycetales; Schizosaccharomycetaceae.